Molecule: ribosomal RNA, 468 nt
Filed under: uncultured bacterium
Lineage: Bacteria
Description: partial 16S ribosomal RNA
Rfam family: Bacterial small subunit ribosomal RNA
Source: RNAcentral
GACGAACGCUGGCGGCGUGCUUAACACAUGCAAGUCGAACGGAAAGGCCCUGCUUUUGUGGGGUGCUCGAGUGGCGAACGGGUGAGUAACACGUGAGUAACCUGCCCUUGACUUUGGGAUAACUUCAGGAAACUGGGGCUAAUACCGGAUAGGAGCUCCUGCUGCAUGGUGGGGGUUGGUAAGUUUCGGCGGUUGGGGAUGGACUCGCGGCUUAUCAGCUUGUUGGUGGGGUAGUGUCUUACCAAGGCUUUGACGGGUAGCCGGCCUGAGAGGGUGACCGGCCACAUUGGGACUGAGAUACGGCCCAGACUCCUACGGGAGGCAGCAGUGGGGAAUAUUGCACAAUGGGCGGAAGCCUGAUGCAGCAACGCCGCGUGCGGGAUGACGGCCUUCGGGUUGUAAACCGCUUUCGCCUGUGACGAAGCGUGAGUGACGGUAAUGGGUAAAGAAGCACCGGCUAACUACGUG